Molecule: ribosomal RNA, 539 nt
Filed under: uncultured bacterium
Lineage: Bacteria
Description: bacterial SSU rRNA
Rfam family: Bacterial small subunit ribosomal RNA
Source: RNAcentral
CGAAUGGGGGAAACCCUGACCGAGCGACGCCGCGUGCGGGAUGAAGCUUUUCGGAGUGUAAACCGCUUUCGCUGGAGAUGAAAGCAGGGGUGGCUAACACCUGCACCUGUAGACAGUACCCAGUAAAGAAGCACCGGCUAACUCCGUGCCAGCAGCCGCGGUAAUACGGGGGGUGCGAGCGUUAAUCGGAUUUAUUGGGCGUAAAGGGGGCCUAGGCGGCCAAGUAAGUCAGGGGUGAAAUCUCCACGGCUUACCCGGGAAAAUGCCUUUGAUACUGCUUGGCUCGAGUUCGGAUUAGGGAAGCGGAAUUCCGUGUGUAGCGGUGAAAUGCGUAGAUAUACGGAGGAACACCAGUGGCGAAGGCGGCUUCCUGGGCCGAUACUGACGCUGAAGCCCGAAAGCGUGGGGAGCGAACGGGAUUAGAUACCCCGGUAGUCCACGCCCUAAACGUUGCGCACUAGGUGUUGGGAGUAUCGACCCUCCCAGUGCCGCCGCUAACGCAUUAAGUGCGCCGCCUGGGGAGUACGGUCGCAAGACUG